RNAcentral lists this transfer RNA (71 nucleotides) under Stegodyphus mimosarum. It matches the Rfam family "tRNA". Rfam says of the family: Transfer RNA (tRNA) molecules are approximately 80 nucleotides in length. Their secondary structure includes four short double-helical elements and three loops (D, anti-codon, and T loops). Further hydrogen bonds mediate the characteristic L-shaped molecular structure. tRNAs have two regions of fundamental functional importance: the anti-codon, which is responsible for specific mRNA codon recognition, and the 3' end, to which the tRNAs corresponding amino acid is attached (by aminoacyl-tRNA synthetases). tRNAs cope with the degeneracy of the genetic code in two manners: having more than one tRNA (with a specific anti-codon) for a particular amino acid; and 'wobble' base-pairing, i.e. permitting non-standard base-pairing at the 3rd anti-codon position. The record is from Rfam by way of RNAcentral. Lineage: Eukaryota; Metazoa; Arthropoda; Arachnida; Araneae; Eresidae.
GCCUUCGUAGUGUAAUGGUAGCACACUCGGUGCGUAUUCGAGAGGUCCAGGUUCGAGUCCCGGCGAGGGCA